RNAcentral lists this ribosomal RNA (662 nucleotides) under Vibrio hangzhouensis. RNAcentral's name for it is "bacterial SSU rRNA". It matches the Rfam family "Bacterial small subunit ribosomal RNA", at positions 742 to 1403 of the family's 1533-position model. Lineage: Bacteria; Pseudomonadati; Pseudomonadota; Gammaproteobacteria; Vibrionales; Vibrionaceae. The record is from RNAcentral.
GACACUCAGAUGCGAAAGCGUGGGGAGCACACAGGAUUAGAUACCCUGGUAGUCCACGCCGUAAACGAUGUCUACUUGGAGGUUGUGGCCUUGAGCCGUGGCUUUCGGAGCUAACGCGUUAAGUAGACCGCCUGGGGAGUACGGUCGCAAGAUUAAAACUCAAAUGAAUUGACGGGGGCCCGCACAAGCGGUGGAGCAUGUGGUUUAAUUCGAUGCAACGCGAAGAACCUUACCUACUCUUGACAUCCAGAGAACUUAGCAGAGAUGCUUUGGUGCCUUCGGGAACUCUGAGACAGGUGCUGCAUGGCUGUCGUCAGCUCGUGUUGUGAAAUGUUGGGUUAAGUCCCGCAACGAGCGCAACCCUUAUCCUUGUUUGCCAGCGAGUAAUGUCGGGAACUCCAGGGAGACUGCCGGUGAUAAACCGGAGGAAGGUGGGGACGACGUCAAGUCAUCAUGGCCCUUACGAGUAGGGCUACACACGUGCUACAAUGGCGCAUACAGAGGGCUGCCAACUUGCGAAAGUGAGCGAAUCCCAAAAAGUGCGUCGUAGUCCGGAUUGGAGUCUGCAACUCGACUCCAUGAAGUCGGAAUCGCUAGUAAUCGUGGAUCAGAAUGCCACGGUGAAUACGUUCCCGGGCCUUGUACACACCGCCCGUCACACC